RNAcentral lists this ribosomal RNA (479 nucleotides) under Salmonella enterica subsp. enterica serovar Enteritidis. RNAcentral describes it as "partial 23S ribosomal RNA". The stretch from base 1 to 366 matches the Rfam family "Bacterial large subunit ribosomal RNA", at positions 161 to 565 of the family's 2925-position model. The record is from RNAcentral. Lineage: Bacteria; Pseudomonadati; Pseudomonadota; Gammaproteobacteria; Enterobacterales; Enterobacteriaceae.
AAUCCAUAGGUUAAUGAGGCGAACCGGGGGAACUGAAACAUCUAAGUACCCCGAGGAAAAGAAAUCAACCGAGAUUCCCCCAGUAGCGGCGAGCGAACGGGGAGGAGCCCAGAGCCUGAAUCAGCAUGUGUGUUAGUGGAAGCGUCUGGAAAGGCGCGCGAUACAGGGUGACAGCCCCGUACACAAAAGCGCAUGUGCUGUGAGCUCGAUGAGUAGGGCGGGACACGUGGUAUCCUGUCUGAAUAUGGGGGGACCAUCCUCCAAGGCUAAAUACUCCUGACUGACCGAUAGUGAACCAGUACCGUGAGGGAAAGGCGAAAAGAACCCCGGCGAGGGGAGUGAAAAAGAACCUGAAACCGUGUACGUACAAGCAGUGGGAGCCCCACCACCAAAGCAUUUGCUGUACCGCGUUGACGGAGCGAAGCGACGUCAAACCGAUAAAACAGCAGUGUAAAGUGAGCCGCAGGGCGCUUUGCGCG